Molecule: long non-coding RNA, 3188 nt
Filed under: Mus musculus (house mouse)
Lineage: Eukaryota; Metazoa; Chordata; Mammalia; Rodentia; Muridae
Description: predicted gene, 47230
Source: RNAcentral
GUGAUGUGUUGAUGUCAGCAAUGAAGCAGCUGUGACUUGCAGCUCUCUGAUCCAGGCAGGCUCUCAAAAGUGGAAGUAAAAGCCCAACAAGAAGGAAGAAUGAAUUCUCCAUGUUGACAAACAUCUGCUCCCAGAAAUAAAAAUAUCCUUUAUUCAGAGAGACUUCUUCUUCUUCCUCUUCCUCUUCCUCUUCUCCUUCUCCUCCUUCCCCUCCUCCUCCUCCUCUUCUUUCUUCUUCUUCUUCUUCUUCUUCUUCUUCUUCUUCUUCUUCUUCUUCUUCUUCUUCUUCUUCCCCCUUCCCCCUUCCCUUUCUCCUCCCUUCCCCUCCCCCUCCCCCCUCCUCCUCCCUCUCAUCCUCCUCCUCCUUCUUCUCCCUUUUUUCUUUUCCCUUGAGACAUGGAUUCUCUGUGUAGUCCCAGUUGUACUCACUACGUAGACCAGGUUGGCCUCAAGCUUACAGAGUUCUGGCUGCCUCCACCUCUCAGGUACUGGGAUUAAAGGGGAACUCCACCAUGUCUGGCUCAGAAAUAGUUCUCAACCUCUUCAGGGAAUGUAAAAGCAUUGCAGGGGCUGGGGAAAUGAUAAUGAACGUAGUAAAAAACAAAAUGCCUUUCAGACAUCUAAAAAUAGCUUAGACAAGAUCCAACACUCCACCCAAGGCUGCACCCGAUAACCAGAACCCAGGGAUAUCCUUCACCCAAGAUAACCAGACACAGUCCUGGAACCCGUGACACCCAUUCAACAGUAUAUAAGCAGAGAUCGAGAGCAAUAUUCUGCUCUACACAUCUAGAGAGACGCCACCUUGAUCUACCCUGUGGCUACAGAAUCUCAAACAGGGUCCUGACCCUCAAAUCAAAGACUUAGAGACUUUAGACUUCUGUUAAAGACUGGACCUGACCUUCAGCUAAGAUAACUCGUACCGGAUAUCUGAUACGUGGCCCCUGUGGAAGGGUCACGACCCACGGGUUGAGAACCGCUGCUCUCAACAGAAUCCCUGGAAUCCACUGAAGCAACAGGUGUCUCUAUUGACAGUUGCUGAUGGGGAAAGUGUGACGUGUUGCUGGGAUAGUCGCUGUCAACAGGAAAGCCAGGCACCUGCUGGUCAGUCAUGCUGCGGUUCUUCCAACACACACCCUACUAAAGAGGAAAUCGCAAAGGAGAACCGAAGAGAUGAUUGACUUUACGGCGAGGGGCGUGGUUACAUCUUACACGAGCCACGAGCAGUGUGAGUAUAUUUUUAGGUCAAGCGAGCUUAACACGAAAAUACCAGCAAUGGCUGCCAUGGUGGCACACACCUUUGAUCCCAGCACUCAAGAAGCAGAGGCAGGCAGGUCUCUGGGAGUUCAAGGCCAGUCAUAGUGAGUUCCAGCCAGCCAGGACUACAUGAAGUCCCUGUCUCAAAAAAAAAAAAAAAAAAAAAAAAAAAAAGAAAAGAAAGAAAGAAAAGAAAAAGAAAAAGAAAAAGAAAAAGAAAAAGAAAGAAAGAAAGAGAGACAGACAUAUAAAACUUUAAAAAUAGAUAAUAGUAACCAUGACACGGGAUAAAUUUGUUAAACAACUUAUGUCUAUAUCAAAUGUCCCAGAAUUCUACACUUCUGUCUUGGCUUUUCUAUCGCUGGGAAAGAGACCCUAUGACCAUGGCAACUCUUAGAAAGGAAAGCCCUUAAUUAGGGCUGGCUUGCAGGGUUCAGCGGCUUAGUCCAUUAUCACUCUAGUGGGAAGCUUGGUGGCAAAGAGGCAGACAUGGUGCUGGAGAGGUAGCCAAGAGUCCGACAUCUGGAUCAGCAGGCAGCUGGAAGACUGUAAGCCACUAGGCCUGCUUUGAGCUUCUGAGACAUCAAAGCCACCUGCUUGGGACACACUUCCUCCAGCAAAGCUACACCUACUCCAACAGGGCCACGUGUCCUGAAAGAGCCACUCCCUAUGGACCUAUGGGGGCCUUUUUUUUUUUUCUUUUUCCAGACAGGGUUUCUCUAUGUAGCCCUGGCUAUCCUAGAACUCAUUCUGUAGACCAGGCAGACCUCGAACUCAGAAAUCCCCCUGCCUCUGCCUCCCAAGUGCUGGGAUUAAAGGUUUAUGAGGGCCAUUUUUAUUCAAACAACCACAACUUCUAAACAUUUUGAUGGGGCAUACAUACGUGUGCAUCCAUACAUGUUUACAUGUGUGUGAAUGUGUAUAGGAACACACGUGUGUGGAGGCCAGACAUUGAAGUCCAGUAGCUUCCAGAUCAUUCCCACCUUAUAUACUGAGGCAGAGACUCUCUGCUGAACACAGAACUUGAGGAUUUGACUAGUUUAGCACAGCUGCUUGUUCCAAGGAUCCUACCCGUUUCCUAAGCACUGGGAUUCUAAGUAGACCAACAUUUCCAUGGAUGCUGAGGAUCUGAACUUGAGUCCUCAGGCUUUUACAGUAAGUUAUCUCCCACCUCCCACCGAGUCAUCUCCAAAACCCACUUUUGAAGAUUUUCUUUUUUCACUUUUAAUUAUAUGUAUGUGUGUGGAUAUGUACAUGUGAGUGCAGUUGCCCAGAGAGACCAGAAGAGGGCAUCAGAUCCCCAGAAGCUAGAACUACAAGGGGUUGUAAUCACUUGAUCUGGGUGCUGGGAACCAAACUGGAGUCCUCCUCAGCAAGAGCAGUUUCUACUCCGGACCUCUGUGCCCUCUCUCCGGCCCCCACUAAUAAAGACUUUGUGUGAGAUUUUCAUGUCUUUCCCUGCCAUACUCCUGAUCCACUCCCACUUCUCUUUGUACUUGGGUAGAGCUUACUUAGGACAAACUCUCUCCUCCUGCGCGUGUGCGUGCGUGCGUGCGUGCGUUUCUCCUUUAAUUUUGAGAGACUCUGUACCACAAGCUGCCCUUGAAUUCAUGACAAUCCUGCACGAUCUUCUGAAGAUGCUGGGAUUGCAGAUAUGAGCCACAUACCCAGUUCUACACCCAGUUCUUCCCCCAGUUACUAAUCCUCUCUGGGGGAGGACGAUAAUUGGCAUCUUUGCAUCACACUACCUCAAGUAUAAAACUGUAACUCGUUGGGCCAGACCCCUCUGUAAUCAUUAUUUAUGGGUCAUAGCCAUAGGCUAUUGAACCUUGCUGCUGCCUGGUCUAUUAGAAUAUUCUAAUUCCUUUACCAAAGAUUCCUUCAGGAGUACAUACAGGGAAUAGACCCCAGCUACCGAUGAGAACAUGUCCUGG